Molecule: ribosomal RNA, 392 nt
Filed under: uncultured bacterium
Lineage: Bacteria
Description: partial 16S ribosomal RNA
Rfam family: Bacterial small subunit ribosomal RNA
Source: RNAcentral
AUACGGAGGAUCCGAGCGUUAUCCGGAUUUAUUGGGUUUAAAGGGUGCGCAGGCGGCCAUUUAAGUCAGCGGUUAAAUCGCGGGGCUCAACCCCAUUCUGCCGUUGAUACUGGGUGGCUUGAUUGCGGUCGAGGUUGGCGGAAUUCGUUGUGUAGCGGUGAAAUUCAUAGAGAUGACGAAGAACACCGAUUGCGUAGGCAGCUGACCAGAUCGCAAAUGACGCUCAUGCACGAAAGUGCGGGGAUCGAACAGGAUUAGAUGCCCGGGUAGUCCGCACAGUAAACGAUGAAUACUUGUUUUCGGCGAUAUACUGUCGGAGGCAAAGCGAAAGCGAUAAGUAUUCCGCCUGGGGAGUACGCCGGCAACGGUGAAGCUCAAAGGAAUUGACGGGG